AGUGGUCGACGGAGGCGGCAGCAUUCGAGUUGCGCUGCAGGAUUUAUUUUAUCUCGUUGGGACGAUCGCGAUGCGUCGUAAAUCGCGGCUAUCGACAUUGUGCGUAGUUAUCCGGCGUGAGCAUCAAAUCAGGAUGUGCAGGUUCUUAAUUCGUGUGAUUACACUGGUUGGCGCGUGAUUGUAAGUUAGCGGCGUCGCGACGCGUCGAUGCUGUGGUGUCGGCGGUUCGCGGCGAACUUGGCGGAUCGGAUGCACGGCCGCCAGCAUCCCAUCCGUUCGCCCGACUCGGCGUGAUCAUGCGCUUCUUCUCCGGAGAGCGCGCUCCCUGCGUUCCCGUGUGUUCAACAUGCACCCGCAUUUCGGGAAAUGAGAAUCUGGAUUUCCUUUUCAUGCAUAGCACCAUUCAAUGUAUUUUUUUCAAUUGAAUAUUCAGAAUAUUGCCUUUUAGUAAUACGAACAUAAAUUAUUUACUUCCAUAUAUGUUUUAUUGCACUAUAUUUUAUCAAAUUAU
Molecule: long non-coding RNA, 511 nt
Organism: Dalotia coriaria
Lineage: Eukaryota; Metazoa; Arthropoda; Insecta; Coleoptera; Staphylinidae
Exons: 2
Source: RefSeq, a predicted model, not a curated record